CCUACGGGUGGCUGCAGUGAGGAAUAUUGGUCAAUGGACGAGAGUCUGAACCAGCCAAGUAGCGUGAAGGAUGACUGCCCUAUGGGUUGUAAACUUCUUUUAUAAAGGAAUAAAACGAGGCAUGUGUGCCUUUUUGCAUGUACUUUAUGAAUAAGGAUCGGCUAACUCCGUGCCAGCAGCCGCGGUAAUACGGAGGGUGCGAGCGUUAAUCGGAAUUACUGGGCUUAAAGCGCUCGUAGGCGGUAUGUCAAGUCAAGGGUGAAAUCCCCGAGCUCAACGUGGGAACUGCCUUUGAAACUGGCAGACUGGAGUGUGUGAGAGGAUGGUGGAAUUCGAGGUGUAGGGGUGAAAUGCGUAGAGAUCUGGAGGAACACCGGUGGCGAAGGCGGCUAUCUGGCACAUAACUGACGCUGAGGAGCGAAAGCGUGGGUAGCAAACAGGAUUAGAUACCCUUGUAGUC
Molecule: ribosomal RNA, 460 nt
Filed under: uncultured bacterium
Lineage: Bacteria
Description: partial 16S ribosomal RNA
Rfam family: Bacterial small subunit ribosomal RNA
Source: RNAcentral